UAACACCGGCAGCCCGAGUGGUGAUCACUAUUAUUGGGUCUAAAGGGUCCGUAGCCGGUUUAAUCAGUCUUCUGGGAAAUCUAAUCGCUUAACUAUUAGGCUUCCAGGGGAUACUGUUAGACUUGGGACCGGGAGAGGUAAGAGGUACUGCAGGGGUAGGAGUGAAAUCUUGUAAUCCCUGUGAGACCACCAGUGGCGAAGGCGUCUUACCAGAACGGGUCCGACGGUGAGGGACGAAAGCUGGGGGCACGAACCGGAUUAGAUACCCGGGUAGUCCCAGCUGUAAACGAUGCUCGUUAGGUGUCAGGAACGGUGCGACUGUUUCUGGUGCUGAAGGGAAGCCGUGAAACGAGCCACCUGGGAAGUACGGCCGCAAGGCUGAAACUUAAAGGAAUUGGCGGGGGAGCACUACAACGGGUGGAGCCCGCGGUUUAAUUGGACUCAACGCCGGAAAACUCACCGGGGGCGACAGCAAUAUGUAGGUCAGGUUAAAGGUCUUACCUGAAUCGCUGAGAGGAGGUGCAUGGCCGUCGUCAGUUCGUACUGUGAAGCAUCCUGUUAAGUCAGGCAACGAGCAAGACCCGUGCCCACUGUUACCAGCAUAUCCUUUAUGGAUGAUGGGGACUCUGUGGGGACCGCUGCUGCUAAAGCAGAGGAAGGUGCGGGCUACGGUAGGUCAGUAUGCCCCGAAUCUCCCGGGCUACACGCGGGCUACAAUGGUUGGGACAAUGGGUAUCUACUCCGAAAGGAGUUGGCAAUCUCUUAAACCCAAUCGUAGUUCGAAUUGAGGGCUGUAACUCGCCCUCAUGAAGCUGGAAUCCGUAGUAAUCGCGUUUCAACAUAGCGCGGU
RNAcentral lists this ribosomal RNA (850 nucleotides) under uncultured archaeon. Its description in RNAcentral is "bacterial SSU rRNA". It matches the Rfam family "Archaeal small subunit ribosomal RNA", at positions 471 to 1319 of the family's 1478-position model. The record is from RNAcentral.